RNA transcript from Carcharodon carcharias (great white shark), 2721 nucleotides. It is a transcript of the gene named serine active site containing 1, with no coding region annotated. The record is from RefSeq and is a predicted model, not a curated record. Lineage: Eukaryota; Metazoa; Chordata; Chondrichthyes; Lamniformes; Lamnidae. The transcript is spliced from 17 exons.
GUGAGGAAGCUGUGGAGCAGAUAGCAAGAUCCACGGACAGACUUGUCCAUGUCGUUGACGGCUCGUUGGAUCUGCUCCUCCAGGGCUCUGGCUUGGGCAGGCCCUGCUGCCAAAGGUUAUAAUCGUUCGAGGCGCGUCAGAAAAAUUGGAAAAUAUGCUGGACCAGUUAUUGUGGGCGGCUGCAUAUUUAUUACCUAUGAAAUCCUGGCACUGGGAGAAAACGUGACUCUUGACACACAGGCUGUAGAACAAGAGAAACUGAAUUCAUAUAUCUAUGUGUACACCAUUCCACUAGAACAGCAAGGAUUGGAGGGAAUUACAAGCAAGGCCAGAAAAGAACUGCAGAGAGCAGUUAAAAGACUGGUGCAAGCCACAGCCGAGAUGUUCUCAUGGCCACUGGAUGAGCAAUACAUGAGACUAGAUGUGGAAGACCAUGAGUCUGGUUUGUGGCUUCUUCUAAAACAGACUCAGUCUGCAGUUAAACCAGCUCGUGUGCAGGCUGUACAGGAACUCGCAAAGAAGCAUCACUGGCAUGAUUACCAAUAUAGAACUCUGGCUCAGGCAUGUGAUCAGAAAACUAGCAUUGGGCUAGCCAGAUCUCAAGAUGUUGACCUUCGUUUUUUUUUAUGCCCUCCUUUACAAAAAGUAAUUGAGAACUCCUGCAUUGAAGAUGAGCUAAGGUACCUGCUGGCCUCCCUACCGCAGUCUGAAGUGGAUCAGUGUGUGCAGUACUUUACUUCUCUUGCUCUACGAGAGAGUAAUCAGUCUUUGGCAGCGCAAAGGGAAGGACAUGGUGAAACAUCCACAGUUAACUCUCAGAUGUUAAGAUCAGUUUUCCAAAUUAAGAUUGGUAGCAACAAAAAAAAUGAGAGGCAGGGAGGCUUGUGGUGUUUUGGGGGAAAUGGUCUUCCUUACGCUCAGAGUCUAAGCUCUGUUCCAUCUGAGAAGGUUGAAUCAUUUUGUCUGCAAGCCCUUGCUAAACAUUCUAAGGUUCCUAGCCACUGUGACAAGAUCGUAAUGAAUGGAGGUCUGCAGUUGCUUCAGAAAAUAUACCAGCUACGACAUGAUUCUCAGAAAAUUCAAAGAAAUAUCAUACGGACAAUUGGAAAUCUAGCUUUACAUGAACAUCUUCACUCUGCCAUUGCUCAGUCAGGAUGGAUUGGUAUACUAGCUGAAGUGAUGAAAUCACCACAUGUUAUCCAGGCUUCACAUGCGGCAAGAGCCUUGGCUAACCUUGAUAGGGAAACCGUGGAGGAGAAGUAUGAGGACGGAGUAUAUAUUCUUCAUCCUCAGUUUAGGACCAGUCAGCCAAUCAAAGCAGAUGUUCUUUUUAUCCAUGGUCUGCUGGGAGCAGCUUUUAAAACGUGGCGACAGAAGGACCAUAGUGAUAUGGAGAAUAAAGAUACCAAUUACACAGAGUGUUGGCCAAAGACCUGGUUGGCUGCGGACUGUCCAAGUCUAAGGAUAUUAUCAGUGGAGUAUGACAGUCAUCUUAGCGACUGGAGAUCGAAGUGCCCCAUGGAGAAUGAAAGGAAAUCCUUGGCUUACAGGGGUCGGGAACUGCUGACUAAACUGAAAGCUGCAGGUGUUGGGGAUAGGCCAGUGGUGUGGGUAGCACAUAGUAUGGGAGGCUUGCUAGUCAAAAAGAUGCUUUUAGAUGCUUCAGAGGAUCCCGAAAUGAGAUUCACCUGCUUUGAGAGAACUGAACAAUAAUUUCACCAAGUUUAUACGGGAACACGAAGUCAACAUUCUGAGCUUUGGAGAAAUGUUGCCAACUUACAUUGGCAGUAUGAUCAAACUGCAUGUGGUACCUCUAAAUUCAGCAGAUUUGGGAAUUGGAGAUUUUAUUCCCUUGGAUGUAAACCAUCUAAACAUUUGCAAACCUGGGAGCAGAGACUCCUUCCUUUACCAGCGGAGUCUGAAAUUUAUAAAAGAUGCUCUGGCAAAAGAACUCAAAAGGUGAAUCAUGGUCUCACAAAGCAGCCAUAGUUUCAACUUUAGUGAGCGAAUCCUACUUUAUAGACUACUUUAUAGUAAUGUGUUCCUCAUGUAAACAAAACUUUGAAAAAGCUAGUGCUUAGUACAUUUUAGGAUAUUAAAAAUUGCAUAUAAGUGAAACAAUGUAUAUACAUUUAUAAUAUUGUAGAUCCACAGAAGACAAUCUGCUAGUGCUUAAAUAACUUUUAAAAGGAUAUAAUUUUUUUUAAUGAUUAUGAUUGUUAAAAAAAAAGGUAUGCUUCAAAAUCUACAUGUUUAAUGGAACUGAUGUUUUUUUUAUUUAUUUGCAAUCUUUCUAUUAAUUUGACUUUGCUCUUUGGGUUUACAAGAAAGGCAACACUCCUGUUUUACAGUAAUGUCAAAACUGGAUUAACCAAAUUUACACAAUAACUUCCACUAUUUUUCACUGUUCAUGCCUUUUGUUGUGCCUAAUGAUGGGACAUGGUACAUCACAAUUAUUCAACAAAUGGUACAAAGUUGAAGAUGCUAACAUCUUUAUGGAAAUAUUUGCCAGGUGUGUAUGUUGGGUUGUAAAACCAAUCUUCCUGCAUUUGGAAUGAUUUUAUUCUGCCUAGUACUAGAGAAGGCAAAAAAGGUCCACUUGGUCAUUGUCUUGAGCAAACAUUUGAGCACAAGAAGCAUUGCUGAUGUUUUCGUUCUCUGUGGACAACACCUAGACAACAUUUGCUUUCAAAACAAAUAUUAAAGAAAUUUGAAAACUCA